RNAcentral lists this ribosomal RNA (468 nucleotides) under uncultured bacterium. RNAcentral describes it as "partial 16S ribosomal RNA". It matches the Rfam family "Bacterial small subunit ribosomal RNA", at positions 28 to 507 of the family's 1533-position model. The record is from RNAcentral.
GACGAACGCUGGCGGCGUGCUUAACACAUGCAAGUCGAACGGAAAGGCCCUGCUUUUGUGGGGUGCUCGAGUGGCGAACGGGUGAGUAACACGUGAGUAACCUGCCCUUGACUUUGGGAUAACUUCAGGAAACUGGGGCUAAUACCGGAUAGGAGCUCCUGCUGCAUGGUGGGGGUUGGAAAGUUUCGGCGGUUGGGGAUGGACUCGCGGCUUAUCAGCUUGUUGGUGGGGUAGUGGCUUACCAAGGCUUUGACGGGUAGCCGGCCUGAGAGGGUGACCGGCGACAUUGGGACUGAGAUACGGCCCAGACUCCUACGGGAGGCAGCAGUGGGGAAUAUUGCAGAAUGGGCGGAAGCCUGAUGCAGCAACGCCGCGUGCGGGAUGACGGCCUUCGGGUUGUAAACCGCUUUCGCCUGUGACGAAGCGUGAGUGACGGUAAUGGGUAAAGAAGCACCGGCUAACUACGUG